AAUCGAGUAUUUACAAAGCGAUUAGCUAUCAUUGAUAUGCUAUAAUUUUCGAGUUCCGAUUAGAUUAGACAAGUACUACCGGCGUGGAGUAUUUGAGCGUCUUAUCGCUUUCACAUAUAUUACACUUUUCCCGCCCUAUUAUUAGACUUUCCUGCUUUAUAUAUGUAUACAUUUAAGGAUUUCCAAGGUUGAUAAAAGUGAAGGCGGAAGGAUGCGGUUAGUGCCGACAGGAAGUCUAUGGCGCGAUUGGGGUUUUACCCAAUUCCUUGGGGAAAUCUCAACGCAGUCGCUCUUAGAGCACUGUUCUGAUGCAACGAGUCGCGCGUACAGUUUACAUACUCUAAUAUUUUGAAUAGCGUUAACAUGAUUUAACGCAUUCGCGUGUGACGUAUCCUUCGACUGAUUGUAAGUUUUAGCACGCGCGUUUAAGGAAUACUUCAAUUUUUUAUAAGUUCAUGAGCUGAUAAUAUUCCAUCCAUUAAUGUACUUAAAAGGUAAAGUACAUGUCAACGAAUCGUUUUUCAAGAAUAAUGACGAGCAAUUUGGAGCCUCCCGACCAGGCCGUUUCGAACGCUGACGGCAAUUGUGUUGUAAAACUCAAAGAUAAAACGUCUCUGAGACUGCGUUUGGGUCGUGUCUUCAGCUCUAGUGGGCUCAACAGUCCCAAGAGUCCGAAAAGCGUGUCAAGUUCCCGCGGAUCGAGCCCUAAUCACGGCAGUCCUUGCGCCAGAACAAGGUACUCCUGGCAACCGGGGUCCUACGGUAGCGAAGACAAUCGAUCGUCCUGUACGUCGGAGAGCGGGAUCUCGACAUCUUCGACAAAGUCGUCAUCGAUCGCAAAUACGGCAAGCUCACCCAACAGCCCAUCCACGCCGAAAAGUGCGUGCUCUUCAACGUGGUAUGCUGCCGAUAGAAGGCAGCAGCUGGAGCAACCCGUCUAUUGCGAGUCCGAAUCACGGCGACCCACCACCGUGGAAAAUGACAAGCAAGACGUAUCAGGCGCCAAUCCGGAGAAAGUUAAGAGCACGACACAGGAUCUAUUCGAGUUACUCGAGCGAGUGCAGAGUUCGCGUCUCGAUGACCAACGUUGCGUUCUGCCGUCGUACUUCUCUCAGACACCGAGAGAUGACAGGACGACAUCGAGCCCCGGUGGCACGGCUGGCAAUCACACCUCGGCGCUCUCGCCCUCGCCGGUCGGCGACGCGCCCUUGGGUAGGGCGCUGAUGGAAGCGGCCCUGCAGCAGCAUGCCGCGACCGGUGUCCAGCCGCCUCUGGUCGUCACGCCACCCGGGUACUGGGUCGACGGUACCGAUCAUCGGCACACCCUCGAUUCCGCCGGCAGGGCACUGUUGCCGGCGCAGCCAGCCUGGCAGCCCAGGAUAGACCAGGACGACACAGCCAAGUGCUAUCGCCGCUUCUUCGUCGGCAGGGAACACGUGAAUCUCGUGGGAAGGGACGGUGAGAACGGCCCGGUCCUGGUCUCGGUGAAGGCCGAGACGGUCGCUGGGCAGGAGCACUGGAGGGUGUUGCUGCGACUCCGGGCGGGAUCGACGCACGACCUGGUCCCCGCUGCGAAUCUCACCUCGAGCCCGACGCCGACGAAAAUGGUCAAGGCGAUCAACGAAACUUUAAGCGUGAGUCCCCUGAUGCCGGUCAUGUGCCCCGGCGCCGGUACCUUGGUAGCCCGAUACGACGAGCACGCCCUGGUCUCCAGGUUCAAGUUUGGCGUUCUCCACCAGCGAGCCAGUCAGCUCACCGAGGAGCAGCUAUUCGGCAAUCGGCAGAUCACACCAGCCUUCCAGGAGUUCCUCGAUCUGCUUGGUCAGAAGAUCGACCUCAAGGAUCACAAGGGUUAUCGCGGUGGAUUGGAUACUCGACACGGCCAGACCGGCGACUCGGCGGUGUAUGAGGUGUUCCGGGGCCGGGAGGUAUUGUUCCACGUUGCCUCGUUGCUACCGUACAGCCCGGGCGAUUCGCAGCAGCUGCAGCGCAAACGGCACAUCGGCAACGACAUCGUUGCCAUCAUAUUUCAGGAGGAACCGACGCCCUUCAGCCCGGACAUGAUCGCCAGCCACUUCUUGCACGCCUUCAUCGUCGUGCAAGUCAUCGACCCCUGCACUCCUAAUACGAGGUACAAAGUUAGUGUGACGGCGCGCGAUGACGUUCCCUGGUUCGGACCGACUCUACCGACGCCGGCAGUCUUUCUCAGAGGCGUCGAAUUUAAAGAGUUCCUGCUCACGAAACUCGUGAACGCCGAGAACGCCGCUUACAAAGCCGAGAAAUUCUCCAAGCUGGAGUUGCGGACUAGAUCGGCCUUGUUAGAAUCUCUGACGGAAGAACUGCAGACCAAAACGGUAGAAUUUCUUGGUGGUCCGCUCGGCCUGGGAAAUUCCGGCUUGACCAUUUGCCCGGUGAGCCCAACGACGAACGACGUGUCCACUUCAGGAAGUAGUGGCAGUGGCUCGCGGUUUAUCGAUACGGUGCGCAAAGCGUUGAGCUCCCGCGUGAGGAACGCGUCAACGGAAAGCGUACCGCAGCAGCUAGCCAAGAAGGGUCAACAGACGGAGUCCAGUCCUCCGAGCAAUCGACAGUCGACUGUCACAAAGGUGAGCGGCAGCAAGCGUUCAGUGGAACCGUCCAGUCCCCUCGGCUCGCCGGAUCUGACCCUGAGGAGAGACUCGGAGCGCGGUAGUCUCGGCAGCCAGGACAGCAGCCUAUCCAACACCGACAAUCAAGAUAGCAGUCUGACGACGUUGCAGCAGGACGAAUAUGAUCGCAGGGAAUCGCAGGGUACGAGUGCCGUCUGCCUCGACAGCGAUGCCACUGUCGUCGACAAGGUCCCGGCGCCGACGUCGGCAACGGUACAGCGACUGACGCACGAAAAUCUGCGCACACAGGAGAAAACAACGACAGAAGUGACGCAGAGAGUGAUCUCGGAGAGUGACGACAGCUCGCUUAACAGCGAGCUCGAGCUCGAUCAGGCCGUGUAUCCCGACAGCGACACGGGUCUCGAAUCGAUGAGCUCCGCGGAGACUCACGAUGCCACGAGGUGUACGAGUAAAGACGGGGUUGUGGAAAACGAAAACCUCAGGAUGGAGGUCACUAGGCUCAAGUGCGACAAGCUGGAUCUGUUGCGACAGAAUGUGACAUGCCAACGUGAACUGAAACGUCGUCGAGAGAAGGAGCUGCAGUUGGAGUCUGAUUUGGCGGCGGCGUCCAAGGAAAUUCUGCGACUACGUGCAAUGCUAAAGGAAUGCUCCACGAGCAUUCCGCUGGAUAACAAUAACCAGCAGACGUCCACCGUGUGAAGUUUGCGAGCGCGACGUGUAGUCUUAGGCGCGAUUAUGAGUUGCUCUCGCGAGAUAUUAGAUAGUACGACCUUUGCGGUCGAAUACAAUUGCAUGUGCUGUAGAAAGGAAAUUAUCUCGAAAAACGUGCAUAGUAAAUUUCCUUCGUCUUUACUAGAAAUUUGUCUCGCAACUCACACGGCUUCCGCACACACGCUGAUUCUUUCCCGUUACAUCACUUUCGCUCAUAGUUUGAUAUCGAGUUUACCGAGAGAUACGCGAAAUAUGAUGAUGAGGAUGAACUAAAGAACAGAGACGUAAAAUGAAGUGUUGCGACGGCUUUUAAACGCUUGACGAGUACUCAUACUUAAACACUAUGUACCUUCCGUUCACCAGGAAUCAUUCAUUACUUCCAAAGGUCUAUCAUUAGUGCUCCGUAAGAGCACAUAGAGUUUGCAAGAUGCUUUACCGUGAUUAAUCAUCCAAGCCGAGUUUUCUUUUUCUAGGUAGAGAAUACAAGUUCUAUAAGUCAUAUACGAGAUAAUAGAAUUAACACGAAUCUGUGAAACUGUGUAUAGUGGCCGAAGUAUCGCUAAGAUACUUGCAGUAUAGAUUCAAGAUUGUUAGACUUCUUGUUUGACUUAUAAAACACGUGUAAUAUUUAUCUAUUAAUUUAUUAGUAGACUUAAGCUGACCAUUUGUAGUCAAUAUACAUACGUGGAUACAAAAAGAAGCAGUAGGGGUAUCUGUAAUAUUAGCUAUUUUAAGAGGCGGAUUCAGCAUUUGACAUUAAGGAGAAACAAAAAUUGUCACGAUGCGCCGCAACAAAAACGUCGUGUCUAUCUAUUGAAGCUUAUACAUAGCUCCCGUUUAUUCUUCCGUAGCGCGGAUUAUCCGGUUAUUUGGGCACAAUUGGGCAAAGAACUUCUUCCAUGUUAGAUGCGAUCUUACAUAGUCGGGAGACAUUUUGUUACGCGCGAUUGUAGACAAAAAUAUGUACCGCUAGCUACAGUAUUUGUCACACGAUAGACUUUACCCGACACUCUUACCUGUUUAUUAGUUCCCUAGUAUUAGAUACCAGAGAAUAGUGUUUAGAUACUUCUACGAGGUUUAAUUGUCUCCGAAACACCAUCCUCGCGUGCUAGUUUUUAGCGAAAGACCGAUCUUUAUUUUGUUUUUAAUAAAUCGCGCACAGCACCAAAUUAUUUAAGUAAACAUCACGUGUCUCCACAAAGUAUCGUUACUCCCCUUUCGCACGUGCUAACGAGAGAUGCGUUCACCGUUCACCGUUCACCGUUUAAAGUUAAGUAUUUUGUAUUCGUUCUUGAUUGGCAGAUGUCGAUCUUUUUGUUAUCUCUUAUGGCUAGUAUUAAUACCAUUCUUACCAUUAUUAUUAUCAGCCUUACGAUUAUUAUUAAUACUUUUAUUAACAGUACGUUAUACUUUGUAUGAUCUUUGUAAAUAAUCGUUAAUAUAGGGCGAACACUCGAAGGCGCUAAGCGAACUGGCACAAAGAGGAGGAACAGUGACGUUCACUCACACAUAAUACCAAAGUUUAAUGUAGUAAAAUUCAUAACUUUUCUUUUCUUUUUUUUUACUUUCCUCAGUCCCCUUGUUUUCCCGUUUUCCAUUAUUUUUACAGGUCGAAAAGAGAUUGCGAGUUCCGUUGUGUCAGAGAUUUUCGUCGAAAGAGGAAAUAGAAGCUACUCAUUUUCGCAGCUAUUUUGAUGAAACAUCACAUUUAUCACUGCCUAUGCGAUGUCGCCUCGACAUUUCUCUUUCGAGAACACGUAAAGUCUGUUCUACUGCUUAUAUAACGUGAUUGAUUGUACCAACAACACUUUAUAUACUAGUGAAAAAUACCACGACCGGUAUACUGCUACUGUAGUAUUGAUAACUUAAAUCUUGAUCUUUCUCUUGCAAGGGCAAAAUUAUUUCUACCGAAAAGAAGAAAAAUCACAUGAAAAAGGCGAAUUUUUUCUUAAAUUUGAUAAAAAUCAUGUAGUUGAAUACGCUAAAGUCGCAGUAUUUCGGACUUGUGUUACACUAAAACUAGUAUCUUUCGAUCUCUUAUAAUACUGGAGGAUUGGAUGGGAAUUAUACUUUCCAAAUCUAUUGACUUAUACUUUUGCAUUAUCUAUAAAUUGAUUGGAGCGAUGGCUAGCACACGUCGGCACUAUUUAAGCAAGCUUUUGUACGUGUCAUUGUACAAAGUUUUAAAGGCUUGUGGGGACGAUUUUUUUUAGUAACGAGAGAUAUUCCAGAAAGAGGAAAGAUAUGUAUAUAUCUUUAUUAUUUUGAACACAUUAAAAAUUAUUUCGCGAGGAAGAAAGAUAUACGAAUUAUUCUAAACGCGUCAAAAUUAUUUCGGGAAGAGGAAAGAUAUACGAAUUAUUCUAAAUACGUUAAAAUGAUUCUAGAAGGAGGAGAAAUAUACGAGUUGUUCUAGAUACAUUUAUAAAUUGAAAACAAUGUACAAAAUUGAGAUUUCUGAAGUAAUGACGGACUGUUUUCGUUGACCGUUAAUGUUGUGUCUGAUAGAGAUCUGCGAUAGUGAGAAAGUUAAAUAUUUAUAUCCGUGAUUCAAUUGGACCCGAGGGAGAUAAUUGAUCCGAAAUGAGCGAGCGAUAAAACAAAUGAAUUGGAAAAACCGACGUGUUUAAUAAAGCCAACGGCGCACAAUAUUUUUCCCACUGAAUUUCUUGCAAGAGUCCAUGAGGAUGCAGAGCUUUAGAUCAGGCGACUUAAAGUUGAAUCCUAAUUGGCUUUCGCAAGCAAUCCAGUAGGAAAAAUAGUAUCGUGCGUCAUUGGCUUAAAUCCGAACACCGGCACACACAUUACUAUAUAUUGGCUGCUUUCCUUUUAGAGAACACAGUCGACAUUUUUUACACAAAUCGACAUAUGUCGCUUCCCACUUAGAAUUUAAUUCAAACUCAAUCGACACUUUUCGACUCUGCUCGGGAGGAGGAGUCGGAGUGGGUUUUCGACCGAAGGACGCAUCGGCUCACGUGGCAAACUGUGCUCGAGUAUGUUACCUUGUGUCGAUUUGCAUCUCCUGAAAGGAAAGCAGCCAUUGUCAGAGAAGUGAUUACACUGUUUAUUAAGAAGUGACUUUUUUUCGAGCACAAAACGAGGGUAAUCCUUCUGAAAACUGUAAGAAGCGAUCACCAUCGGUCUCAUGCAUUUUUGUUUUCGUUGAACAGUGUUAUCGUUACGGAAUAUUUAAAUAUUUUCGGAAACGUCUUGUAUACUACCUAUACAUAUAUCUAUAAGAGAUAUCUAUAGAAAAUUUAUAUUACGAUUUAAUACUCGCGAAGAAGUUAAUUGAAUCUCCUUUUAAUUUUUACCAAUGUACAUAACGACGAGAAUUGCGUUCGAUCACGGAGAUCGUCGUUCGAUCGAAGACUAAGUUUUACCACUGUCUAGUGUGAUUUCUAUGCUGGCCUUGCGAAAAGUCAAAGAAAGAUUAUCUAUAUUAUAGAGAGAUAUUCAUUAUUAUAUAUAUUACCAAGGACAAGAAAACGGACUGAGAAGUAGGAAAGGGGAAAGGAUAGAAAAUAUUACAACAGAUAUAUAUCUAUAUAAAUAUAUUUUGUAUCUAAUAUUAAUCACCCAUUUCUACAACUAACUCGAAUACUUCACUCUUAAAAAACUUUGUAUGUAUACAGGGUGUCUCAAAUUUCCUGUGUGAUAAUCCUGAUAAAAAUUAUUUUCUAAAACUACUGUGAAACGAUGAAAAGUUAACUGAAAGUUAUUGAAGAAAAUAUUAAUUUUUUUUAAUUGUGAAAUGUCUUAAAAAAUGUGUAAUUUUAGGAACAUAUUUUUUUUUAAUUCAUCAUCUCUAUAUGGUAUGUUAAAGUCUGAACGAGAACAGGUUCUUCGCGAACGGUUCCAAAAAACAUCUCUUCUGGGUCUUAAUUGAAGAUAAAAACUAGAAAUCUCUUGAAUAAAACUAGUCUUUACCGUCUUUAGUCGAUGAUUUUAAUAUAAAUUAAAAAAAUUAAAAACAUGCCUCGGUAGUCGAAUUGGUGGAGACGCCCGCCUAAGUGAGUGAGAGGUUCAAACCCUGGCUGAGGUAAUAUUUUUCGCAAUAAAUUUUCUGUAUUACAAAAAUUGCCAGAUACGGUCAGUAGAAAUCACUGAUGUUUUUAAAAUAACUUCAAAAGUAUACUGUUAACGAUUGUCGCGGGAGAUUUGAGAUAUUCUACUUACAAACAAUAUUUCCUACGACGAUGUGGAACACAUUAGGCGUUCGAUCUUUUCAAUUUCACUAUUAGGUGAAAAAUAAUUGCGAGUAUUUGUAAAGGAUGUUUACUGAGCUGUCUCAGGACUCUCAGGCCUGGUCUACAAUGAGUUAAAUCAGUUAUUAGUCGGAAUUAUAUGUCGGUCCUUUCUCUUUUUGGACUAACAUAUAGUUCUGACUAAUAACUGAUUUAACUCAUUGUAGACCAGACCUUAGAGUAAACACAUUAUCGAUAAACACAAUGCGUUCAUGCUUUCGAGAACGUAAGUAACGGUCUAAAAGAAAAUACAAUCCGUGUUUGUCGUAUCACAAGUCACAACCCGUGAAACAAAUGAACGUGUAUGUAGACAUAGGUGUACGUGGAAAAUUCUUAGCGAAAUUCUUCGACACAGAUUAGUUAUUGUCGCCUACACCGAGUUGGGAUUCUGGCUUCGCGAGCGAUUCGAAGCAGCAUACCGUACCGGGAAAUCGAAUUGUUUGUAUCGAUAUCACAGAAUCGCUACUGUUGCCGAACAUCUGGCGCAAAAUGCUGGAAUGAUAUGACUCAGAGUCCGCAAGCUAUUAUUGCAUAAUAUAUCCAAAGGUAAUAUUUGGCAAUGAAUAAUUCUUUAAAGCACGAUUAGAGCAUAACACUAUAAGGGAACCAUGCACCAAAUAGAUGUUACUACAAAACCCAGCGAGAAGAGACUCAAUCGAUGUCGAAUCGACAACGUUUCGAUAUCGAUCGACAAAUCAUUUCUCACUGGGAAUAUGUGACAAUUAGGAAAGUUCCAGUGCAACUCUACUCUCGGAAAUAUCUCGAAUCCGAUCGCAAUGAAGCUCCUUAUACGCAGAAAAUUGUAAGCGUACGAUGUGUAUAAUGUAUUCGGUCACCUACGACGUCAAUAUCUAAGCGAUCUUGGAAAAUGCAAAAAGCUCUGAUUAUUGGACUAGUCUGUGUAUAUAAGCAUAUGUAUUAUAUAUACAAAGAAAGAAGAAAAUAAAGAAGACAUGCAAAGCAA
This is an RNA transcript of Vollenhovia emeryi, 8531 nucleotides long. It is a transcript of the gene named rap1 GTPase-activating protein 1-like, with no coding region annotated. NCBI's taxonomy places the organism in Eukaryota, Metazoa, Arthropoda, Insecta, Hymenoptera, Formicidae. The transcript is spliced from 13 exons. The record is from RefSeq and is a predicted model, not a curated record.